UCGAGCGGUAGGCCUUUCGGGGUACACGAGCGGCGAACGGGUGAGUAACACGUGGGUGAUCUGCCCUGCACUUCGGGAUAAGCCUGGGAAACUGGGUCUAAUACCGGAUAUGACCUCCUAUCGCAUGGUGGGUGGUGGAAAGAUUUAUCGGUGCAGGAUGGGCCCGCGGCCUAUCAGCUUGUUGGUGGGGUAAUGGCCUACCAAGGCGACGACGGGUAGCCGACCUGAGAGGGUGACCGGCCACACUGGGACUGAGACACGGCCCAGACUCCUACGGGAGGCAGCAGUGGGGAAUAUUGCACAAUGGGCGAAAGCCUGAUGCAGCGACGCCGCGUGAGGGAUGACGGCCUUCGGGUUGUAAACCUCUUUCAGCAGGGACGAAGCGCAAGUGACGGUACCUGCAGAAGAAGCACCGGCUAACUACGUGCCAGCAGCCGCGGUAAUACGUAGGGUGCAAGCGUUGUCCGGAAUUACUGGGCGUAAAGAGUUCGUAGGCGGUUUGUCGCGUCGUUUGUGAAAACCAGCAGCUCAACUGCUGGCUUGCAGGCGAUACGGGCAGACUUGAGUACUGCAGGGGAGACUGGAAUUCCUGGUGUAGCGGUGAAAUGCGCAGAUAUCAGGAGGAACACCGGUGGCGAAGGCGGGUCUCUG
Molecule: ribosomal RNA, 651 nt
Filed under: Rhodococcus erythropolis
Lineage: Bacteria; Bacillati; Actinomycetota; Actinomycetes; Mycobacteriales; Nocardiaceae
Description: bacterial SSU rRNA
Rfam family: Bacterial small subunit ribosomal RNA
Source: RNAcentral